CUGGCAAGGCUUAAAUUUGCCCCCAGAUGUGCCCUGUCAUCUUUAAUCCAACCUCUGACUUAGAGUUUCAACAUGUGGUCUCUGGACAAGAUGGCUGCCAUGAAUAACGAAAAGAUAGGAAAAGAAAAGUAGAGCCAGGAGCAGUGGCUCACACCUGUAAUCCUAGCACUUUGGGAGGCCAAGGCGGAUGGAUCACCUGAGGUCACCUGGGUUGUCAAAAGUGAAUUUGUG
This 231-nucleotide long non-coding RNA is filed under the name Homo sapiens (human). RNAcentral's name for it is "HSALNT0017628". Lineage: Eukaryota; Metazoa; Chordata; Mammalia; Primates; Hominidae. The record is from RNAcentral.